UAGAAAGCAUCCGACAAAGAAUCUGCUUCCA
This 31-nucleotide non-coding RNA is filed under the name Mus musculus (house mouse). The record is from RNAcentral. Lineage: Eukaryota; Metazoa; Chordata; Mammalia; Rodentia; Muridae.